AAUCAACGCUGGCGGCGUGCCUAACACAUGCAAGUCGAACGCGAAAGGGGCUUCGGCCCUGAUUAGAGUGGCGAACGGGUGAGUAACACGUGGGUGAUCUGCCUCUGAGUGGGGAUAACGUUCCGAAAGGAGCGCUAAUACCGCAUGACGUUCUGGGUUUGAAGACCUGGAAACCAAAGUCGGGACCGCAAGGCCUGACGCUUGGAGAGGAGCCCGCGCCUGAUUAGCUAGNGGUGGGGUAAUGGCUCACCAAGGCUACGAUCAGUAGCCGGCCUGAGAGGGCGGACGGCCACACUGGGACUGAGACACGGCCCAGACUCCUACGGGAGGCAGCAGUGGGGAAUUGUUCGCAAUGGGCGCAAGCCUGACGACGCAACGCCGCGUGGAGGAUGAAGGUCUUCGGAUUGUAAACU
Molecule: ribosomal RNA, 413 nt
Filed under: uncultured bacterium
Lineage: Bacteria
Description: bacterial SSU rRNA
Rfam family: Bacterial small subunit ribosomal RNA
Source: RNAcentral